GGGUGCUAACGUCCGUCGUGAAGAGGGAAACAACCCAGACCGCCAGCUAAGGUCCCAAAGUCAUGGUUAAGUGGGAAACGAUGUGGGAAGGCCCAGACAGCCAGGAUGUUGGCUUAGAAGCAGCCAUCAUUUAAAGAAAGCGUAAUAGCUCACUGGUCGAGUCGGCCUGCGCGGAAGAUGUAACGGGGCUAAACCAUGCACCGAAGCUGCGGCAGCGACGCUUAUGCGUUGUUGGGUAGGGGAGCGUUCUGUAAGCCUGUGAAGGUGUGCUGUGAGGCAUGCUGGAGGUAUCAGAAGUGCGAAUGCUGACAUAAGUAACGAUAAAGCGGGUGAAAAGCCCGCUCGCCGGAAGACCAAGGGUUCCUGUCCAACGUUAAUCGGGGCAGGGUGAGUCGACCCCUAAGGCGAGGCCGAAAGGCGUAGUCGAUGGGAAACAGGUUAAUAUUCCUGUACUUGGUGUUACUGCGAAGGGG
Molecule: ribosomal RNA, 473 nt
Filed under: Escherichia coli
Lineage: Bacteria; Pseudomonadati; Pseudomonadota; Gammaproteobacteria; Enterobacterales; Enterobacteriaceae
Description: partial 23S ribosomal RNA
Rfam family: Bacterial large subunit ribosomal RNA
Source: RNAcentral